UACGGAGGGUGCAAACGUUGCUCGGAAUCAUUGGGCGUAAAGCGCACGUAGGCGGCCCAGCAAGUCGGGUGUGAAAGCCCUCGGCUUAACCGAGGAAGUGCAUUCGAAACUACUGAGCUUGAAUACUGGAGAGGAUCGCGGAAUUCCCGGUGUAGUGGUGAAAUACGUAGAGAUUGGGAAGAACACCAGUGGCGAAGGCGGCUAUCUGGACGGUUUCUGACGCUAAGACGCGAAAGCGUGGGGAGCAAACAGG
RNAcentral lists this ribosomal RNA (253 nucleotides) under uncultured bacterium. RNAcentral's name for it is "partial 16S ribosomal RNA". It matches the Rfam family "Bacterial small subunit ribosomal RNA", at positions 524 to 776 of the family's 1533-position model. The record is from RNAcentral.